Molecule: small nucleolar RNA, 71 nt
Filed under: Euglena gracilis
Lineage: Eukaryota; Euglenozoa; Euglenophyceae; Euglenales; Euglenaceae
Description: Eg-m142 box C/D methylation-guide
Source: RNAcentral
CAUUUGAUGACACCUGGCUCCCUCUACUGAGGUGAUGAGGAGAUUCUGCAUCGAACCCAUUUUCUCUGAAG